AAAAAAAAAAACACGUUGAUAACCUACCUAUAAGACUGGGAUCACUUCGGGAAACCGGAGCUAAUACACGAUAAUAUUUUGAACCGCAUGGUUCAAACGUUAAAGACCUUCUUUCUGUCCCUUAUCGAUGGAUCCGAGCUGCAUUAGCUAGUUGGUAAGGUAACGGCUUACCAAGGCAACGAUGCAUAGCCGACCUGAGAGGAUGAUCAGCCACACUGGAACUGAGAAACGGUCCAGACUCCUACGGGAGGCAGCAGUAGGGAAUCUUCGGCAAUGGGCGAAAGCCUGACGGAGCAAUGCCGCGUGAGUGAUGAAGGUCUUCGUAUUGUAAAAUGCUGCGACGACCGCCGAAAUCAACACAAGGAG
Molecule: ribosomal RNA, 366 nt
Filed under: uncultured bacterium
Lineage: Bacteria
Description: partial 16S ribosomal RNA
Rfam family: Bacterial small subunit ribosomal RNA
Source: RNAcentral